RNAcentral lists this ribosomal RNA (490 nucleotides) under Klebsiella pneumoniae. Its description in RNAcentral is "bacterial SSU rRNA". It matches the Rfam family "Bacterial small subunit ribosomal RNA", at positions 9 to 490 of the family's 1533-position model. The record is from RNAcentral. Lineage: Bacteria; Pseudomonadati; Pseudomonadota; Gammaproteobacteria; Enterobacterales; Enterobacteriaceae.
GAGUUUGAUCCUGGCUCAGAUUGAACGCUGGCGGCAGGCCUAACACAUGCAAGUCGAGCGGUAGCACAGAGAGCUUGCUCUCGGGUGACGAGCGGCGGACGGGUGAGUAAUGUCUGGGAAACUGCCUGAUGGAGGGGGAUAACUACUGGAAACGGUAGCUAAUACCGCAUAACGUCGCAAGACCAAAGUGGGGGACCUUCGGGCCUCAUGCCAUCAGAUGUGCCCAGAUGGGAUUAGCUAGUAGGUGGGGUAACGGCUCACCUAGGCGACGAUCCCUAGCUGGUCUGAGAGGAUGACCAGCCACACUGGAACUGAGACACGGUCCAGACUCCUACGGGAGGCAGCAGUGGGGAAUAUUGCACAAUGGGCGCAAGCCUGAUGCAGCCAUGCCGCGUGUGUGAAGAAGGCCUUCGGGUUGUAAAGCACUUUCAGCGGGGAGGAAGGCGGUGAGGUUAAUAACCUCAUCGAUUGACGUUACCCGCAGAAGGAG